This 432-nucleotide ribosomal RNA is filed under the name uncultured bacterium. RNAcentral describes it as "partial 16S ribosomal RNA". It matches the Rfam family "Bacterial small subunit ribosomal RNA", at positions 29 to 507 of the family's 1533-position model. The record is from RNAcentral.
ACGAACGCUGGCGGCAUGCCUAACACAUGCCAGUCGAACGAGACCUUCGGGUCUAGUGGCGCACGGGUGCGUAACGCGUGGGAACCUGCCCUUAGGUUCGGAAUAACUCCCCGAAAGGGGUGCUAAUACCGGAUAAUGUCUUCGGACCAAAGAUUUAUCGCCUUUGGAUGGGCCCGCGUUGGAUUAGCUAGUUGGUAGGGUAAAAGCCUACCAAGGCGACGAUCCAUAGCUGGUCUGAGAGGAUGAUCAGCCACACUGGGACUGAGACACGGCCCAGACUCCUACGGAAGGCAGCAGUGGGGAAUAUAGGACAAUGGGCGAAAGCCUGAGCCAGCAAUGCCGCGUGAGUGAUGAAGGCCUUAGGGUUGUAAAGCUCUUUUACCCGGGAUGAUAAUGACAGUACCGGGAGAAUAAGCUCCGGCUAACUCCGUG